This 387-nucleotide ribosomal RNA is filed under the name uncultured bacterium. RNAcentral describes it as "bacterial SSU rRNA". It matches the Rfam family "Bacterial small subunit ribosomal RNA", at positions 28 to 417 of the family's 1533-position model. The record is from RNAcentral.
GACGAACGCUGGGCGGCGUGCUUAACACAUGCAAGUCGAGCGGUAAGGCCCUUUCGGGGGUACACGAGCGGCGAACGGGUGAGUAACACGUGGGUGACCUGCCCUCAGCUCUGGGAUAAGCCUGGGAAACUGGGUCUAAUACUGGAUAUGACUCCACGGUGCAUGUCGUGGGGUGAAAGCCUUUGUGCGGCUGAGGAUGGGCCCGCGGCCUAUCAGCUUGUUGGUGGGGAUGGCCUACCAAGGCGACGACGGGUAGCCGGCCUGAGAGGGCGACCGGCCACACUGGGACUGAGACACGGCCCAGACUCCUACGGGAGGCAGCAGUGGGGAAUCUUGCGCAAUGGGCGAAAGCCUGACGCAGCGACGCCGCGUGAGGGAUGACGGCCU